AUUGAACGCUGGCGGCAGGCUUAACACAUGCAAGUCGAACGAGUGGCGGACGGGUGAGUAAUGCUUGGGAAUCUGGCUUAUGGAGGGGGAUAACGACGGGAAACUGUCGCUAAUACCGCGUACCAUAGGAUGAGCCCAAGGGGGAGUAGGUAGUUGGUGGGGUAAUGGCCUACCAAGCCGACGAUCUCUAGCUGGUCUGAAAGGAUGACCAGCCACACCGGGACUGAGACACGGCCCGGACUCCUACGGGAGGCAGCAGUGGGGAAUAUUGCGCAAUGGGGGCAACCUGAUCCAGCCAUGCCGCGUGUCUGAAGAAGGCCUUCGGGUUGUAAAGGACUUUUGUCAGGGAAGCGGUACCUGAAGAAUAAGCACCGGCUAACUACGUGCCAGCAGCCGCGGUAAUAC
RNAcentral lists this ribosomal RNA (405 nucleotides) under uncultured bacterium. RNAcentral's name for it is "partial 16S ribosomal RNA". It matches the Rfam family "Bacterial small subunit ribosomal RNA", at positions 30 to 526 of the family's 1533-position model. The record is from RNAcentral.